RNAcentral lists this unclassified non-coding RNA (300 nucleotides) under Paraglomus sp. RNAcentral describes it as "partial internal transcribed spacer 2". The record is from RNAcentral. Lineage: Eukaryota; Fungi; Glomeromycota; Glomeromycetes; Paraglomerales; Paraglomeraceae.
GGGAAGCAGCAAAUCGGGGAACGCAAAUUGCGCCGGGGUCGGAAGGCAGGGCGGGGGGAGGGCACCAGGGAACAAAGAAUGUGCAGGGCGUGUGCACACGUUGAUGAGCUUUCCAAAAUUAUGUAUUAUUAUUUUUGGUGGCGCAUAAUUAAACAGCGCGAUGCUUUUUUCAGUUCGAGUGUAGUAAAAUUUUUUCUUGCUUGGGUUGUGAAAAGCGUGAUCGCGCAAAUGGGUGUGGCGAUUCUACUAACCCUGCCCCAACGCCACUCUUUCUCGCGAAAGAAUAUUAAUCUUCAGGGC